RNAcentral lists this ribosomal RNA (253 nucleotides) under uncultured bacterium. Its description in RNAcentral is "partial 16S ribosomal RNA". It matches the Rfam family "Bacterial small subunit ribosomal RNA", at positions 524 to 776 of the family's 1533-position model. The record is from RNAcentral.
UACGGAGGAUGCAAGCGUUAUCCGGAAUGAUUGGGCGUAAAGGGUCCGCAGGUGGCAAUGUGUGUCUGCUGUCAAAGAAUGAGGCUUAACCUCAUCAAGGCAGUGGAAACUACAUAGCUAGAGUACGGUCGGGGUAGAAGGAAUUCCUGGUGUAGCGGUGAAAUGCGUAGAUAUCAGGAGGAACACCGGUGGCGAAAGCGCUCAUCUGGCCCGAUACUGACGCUGAAGCACGAAAGCUAGGGGAGCAAACGGG